UUUUCUUUUCCUCUCCUUGCCCGAAACUCUCUUCUCCUCACACGCACGCACGGCGCGGCGGGUUUUGCUCUCGGGCGAAGAAGGCGAUCGAGCUAGGGUUCUCUCCCUCCGGCGGCCGGCGAAGGCUUUGUCCGACCGGUCCUCACCCGUACGUGGUCACCUCGACGAAGGGAGCUCGGGAACACAAAGGAGCCGCCGAGAUCUUCAAGCUCCACCCGAACCCUAGAUCUCCCUCUCGGUUGUAAGUCCAAGCAAACCAUUAUAAAGGAAAAGUUAAGGUGUAAAGAGGAAGGCGACAAGGAGAAUGCGUGAUAGAUGUGUGUGAUGCCAGGACUAUGGAGGGAUCUGGGAAGCUAUGAGUUUUCAUGUUUAGUGGAAAAGAAAUAGUUGAGUUGUACUUUAUAGUUUGUGUCAUUUGAGAUUGUAUUCUUUAUUCCUUGUUUUUUUAUUGAGUUCAUUCGUGUCUUAGAUUGCAUGCUGUGAUGAGUCUCUGUGUAAUAAGUAGUUGUUUUAGUGUUUGACUUUUAUUAAACUGCAUGAGUGUUUGAUAUAUGUUCCAGCCGACUGUGGCUGUAUAUACUGUGUA
Molecule: long non-coding RNA, 586 nt
Organism: Zingiber officinale
Lineage: Eukaryota; Viridiplantae; Streptophyta; Magnoliopsida; Zingiberales; Zingiberaceae
Exons: 2
Source: RefSeq, a predicted model, not a curated record